Molecule: long non-coding RNA, 1808 nt
Organism: Gasterosteus aculeatus aculeatus (three-spined stickleback)
Lineage: Eukaryota; Metazoa; Chordata; Actinopteri; Perciformes; Gasterosteidae
Source: Ensembl
GGGGGAGAGAGAGAGAGAGAGAGGGAGCGCGCGCGCGUUUGUUUUCACUCGAAGUGUCUCUCGCUCGACGCGCAGCUCGCGAGCUUGUCGGAACUUAACUGUCGCGUCGCUCUUCGUCUCCGAUGGAAAGGCCCUCGUCACCGCUGCAGCAAAUCAAAGAGUUGAAAUGCCCUCAGACUUCAUAAAGCCACCGUGUCAACGUGUGUGUGUGCUUUUCACCACUGAACGACCUCACCGAGAUGUUCAUUAUAAUCAUGUAAAACCCCACCAGGGAGAUACACACGUUACUGCAUACAACCCUUACAAAAUGCGUCUCUAUUUCAAGGGCUUCGGUGCAACCAAGGGAAUAUGUCAGAUGUGUGGAAAUAGGAAUAAAUUAAGGAAUUGCUAAUUAUUCAGGACAUUAGGUGCACAACAGCGAGUGUCUGAUGCAAAUUAGGCUACAACCCCUACAAAAUACCCCAGAAAUGUGAAAUAAAGUAGGCUUAAGUGAAAUCUUCCCUGCAGCUUAAGGCUUAACCUAAAUAUUUAAUGCUAUAAGGGUUCAAAUUGCGGGUAUUUAACGGUUAAAGAUAUGAGCUUCUUAGGACAGGCUCGCUUGUAAUGUGUUAUAAUGAUAAUUCCUCAGACCAAUAAAGCAACUCAUACCCCAAGGAAGAAAGAAUAUGUUGUUGUAAGCUGGUGAUGAAGAAUGGGAUUUGCUCAUGAGGCUUUAGUGUCAUUAGGCUCUUUACAUUUUAAUGAAUUCCACUAUAGAGAUUGACCCAGUGAGAUGAAGUAAAAAACAAAACAAAACAAAAACUUUAAUUUAUGCAGGGUUUAUGAUUAACUUAUGUUCGGUUGGUUGUUAGUUUUUCAAAUUAAAUGUUGUUCACUGAAAAACUAAAUCUUGUAUCUCGGAUGCGAUUAAGAUAUCGUCCGUACAAAUCACAGGGAAAAGGGAUUCCAGUGUGUUUUAAGUGUAAUUUUAAAGGACUUAAGCAGAUGUUGAUAAUAUUGUGAAACAAAGUAAUUUGGGCCGGGAUAGUUGGUACAUAAAAUAUUUCACACUGUCCCACGUCUACGGCAAGGAAUACCACUUUAAUUCAUGUUGUAAUACUUUGUUUUUUUUUAAUGCUUUUUUAUACUGAGCGGCACAAAAAGGUGUCAGACUAAAACGUCACCGUGAGAAUCUAUUGAAUCUGUGUGAGAUUAAGUUACACCGAUGAGUCACCCCUUCUCCCUGAUUCCUGGUCAUCCCUCUUGUGUGUGAGGCAAACGUCUUUUCUCCUUCCCUCCAGGAAACACGCAACACAGUGGUUCUUUUGUUACUGAUGGAUUUACUCGCCUUCAUCAUCAGUCAACGUCAUCUAAUCCGCCGUCAAACUGUUCAAAAUACACAACAAAUGUACACGAUGAGCACAAAUUCCUACUCCGUACAAACGUUUUUUUAAACACACAAACACAAAGGUGGAAUGGGAUGAUUGUCUACAAUAUUACUAAAUCUUUAAGCAUCUUCCAAAAAUGAGAUUCUCUAAACAACACAGGACGUAAACAUAGUUCUUAUUAGAAACAAUACUCCUCAAAAUAAGUCUCUAAAGUAAUUUGUUAACAAAUAACAUAAAUAGAAACCGUGGUAGUUAAAUCUAAGGUUUAAAACUGGAGCGUCUCCUCUGUGGGUUCACACCAGCUUCCAAAUAAGAAUUUUUAACAAGAAAAAAACUCCUGACAAUGUAAAUUGUAGAUGGAGAUUCAAUCGUUCUGUGAGGAGCCGAUGAAUCCACCCACGCAGUUAUGAGGACGAGCGACCUCACCCGUCCGUCCGUCUG